AUGCCAAUUAGGGGCAGGUCCCAAUGGCCCAAGGUAAAUCCUGGAUUUGAUAUGAUCCCUCCAAAGCUUACCAAGAGUGCUGGACGCCCAAGAACUAGGAGGAUAAAGAAUUACACCGAAGGUGGAACUGGCAGAAAACAUAAAUGCAGGUGUGGAGCAUUAGGUUAUCUUCGAAAGACAUGCAAGGAGCCAGAGAUUGAAAGUGACGUGGACCGAGAUGCUACUCCUCCUCCACGGUAA
Molecule: ribosomal RNA, 240 nt
Filed under: Triticum aestivum (bread wheat)
Lineage: Eukaryota; Viridiplantae; Streptophyta; Magnoliopsida; Poales; Poaceae
Description: partial small subunit ribosomal RNA
Source: RNAcentral